RNAcentral lists this ribosomal RNA (494 nucleotides) under uncultured bacterium. RNAcentral describes it as "partial 16S ribosomal RNA". It matches the Rfam family "Bacterial small subunit ribosomal RNA", at positions 28 to 507 of the family's 1533-position model. The record is from RNAcentral.
GACGAACGCUGGCGGCGUGCUUAACACAUGCAAGUCGAACGGUGAAGCGCCUUCCUUUUUGGUGGGUGUGGAUGAGUGGCGAACGGGUGAGUAACACGUGAGUAACCUGCCCCCUUCUUCUGGAUAACCGCAUGAAAGUGUGGCUAAUACGGGAUAUUCUGGGUCUGUCGCAUGAUGGGUCUGGGAAAGAUAUUGUUUCGGUGGGGGAUGGGCUCGCGGCCUAUCAGCUUGUUGGUGGGGUGAUGGCCUACCAAGGCGGUGACGGGUAGCCGGCCUGAGAGGGUGGACGGUCACACUGGGACGGAGACGCGGCCCAGACUCCUACGGGAGGCAGCAGUGAGGAAUAUUGCACAAUGGGCGCAAGCCUGAUGCAGCGACGCCGCGUGAGGGAUGGAGGCCUGCGGGUUGUGAACCUCUUUCGCCAGUGAAGCAGGCCUGCCUCGUUUGUGGGUGGGUUGACGGUAGCUGGAUAAGAAGCGCCGGCUAACUACGUG